RNAcentral lists this ribosomal RNA (1386 nucleotides) under uncultured bacterium. RNAcentral's name for it is "16S ribosomal RNA". It matches the Rfam family "Bacterial small subunit ribosomal RNA". The record is from RNAcentral.
UUCGCCCUUAGAGUUUGAUCCUGGCUCAGGACGAACGCUGGCGGCGCGCCUAACACAUGCAAGUCGAACGAGCGAGAGGGAGCUUGCUUUCUCGAGCGAGUGGCGAACGGGUGAGUAACGCGUGAGGAACCUGCCUCAAAGAGGGGGACAACAGUUGGAAACGACUGCUAAUACCGCAUAAGCCCACAGGUCGGCAUCGACCAGAGGGAAAAGGAGCAAUCCGCUUUGAGAUGGCCUCGCGUCCGAUUAGCUAGUUGGUGAGGUAACGGCCCACCAAGGCAACGAUCGGUAGCCGGACUGAGAGGUUGAACGGCCACAUUGGGACUGAGACACGGCCCAGACUCCUACGGGAGGCAGCAGUGGGGAAUAUUGCACAAUGGGGGAAACCCUGAUGCAGCGACGCCGCGUGAAGGAAGAAGUAUCUCGGUAUGUAAACUUCUAUCAGCAGGGAAGAUAAUGACGGUACCUGACUAAGAAGCCCCGGCUAACUACGUGCCAGCAGCCGCGGUAAUACGUAGGGGGCAAGCGUUAUCCGGAUUUACUGGGUGUAAAGGGAGCGCAGGCGGGAAGACAAGUUGGAAGUGAAAUCCAUGGGCUCAACCCAUGAACUGCUUUCAAAACUGUUUUUCUUGAGUAGUGCAGAGGUAGGCGGAAUUCCCGGUGUAGCGGUGGAAUGCGUAGAUAUCGGGAGGAACACCAGUGGCGAAGGCGGCCUACUGGGCACCAACUGACGCUGAGGCUCGAAAGUGUGGGUAGCAAACAGGAUUAGAUACCCUGGUAGUCCACACUGUAAACGAUGAUUUCUAGGUGUUGGAGGAAUGACCCCUUCAGUGCCGCAGUUAACACAAUAAGUAAUCCACCUGGGUGAGUCUGACCGCAAGGUUGAAACUCAAAAGGAAUUGACGGGGGCCCGCACAAGCAGUGGAGUAUGUGGUUUAAUUUCGACGCAACGCGAAGAACCUUACCAGGUCUUGACAUCCUGCUAACGAAGUAGAGAUACAUUAGGUGCCCUUCGGGGAAAGCAGAGACAGGUGGUGCAUGGUUGUCGUCAGCUCGUGUCGUGAGAUGUUGGGUUAAGCCCCGCAACGAGCGCAACCCCUAUUGUUAGUUGCUACGCAAGAGCACUCUAGCGAGACUGCCGUUGACAAAACGGAGGAAGGUGGGGACGACGUCAAAUCAUCAUGCCCCUUAUGACCUGGGCUACACACGUAAUACAAUGGCGGUCAACAAAGGGAUGCAAAGCCGCGAGGCAGAGCGAACCCCAAAAAGCCGUCCCAGUUCGGACUGCAGGCUGCAACUCGCCUACAUGAAGUCGGAAUCGCUAGUAAUCGCAGGUCAGCAUACUGCGGUGAAUACGUUCCCGGGCCUUGCACACACCGCCCGUCA